UUCUAGUUUUUUAAUUAGUAAAUUCUGCUCAAUGACAAUAGAAUAAAUAGCCGCAGAAUUUUAACUGUGCUAAGGUAGCAUAAUCAUUUGUUCUAUAAUAGAGAACUGGGAUGAAAGAAUUAACAACAUUUCGACUUUUUGGGUUUAUUUUUAGAAAUUGAUAUCUAUAUUAAAAAGUAUAGCUGAAUUAAAAAGACGAUAAGACCCUAUAAAACUUUAUUAUUAGUUAAAUUUUAAAAACAGGAAUAAAGAUUUAGGUUAUAAUUAAGCUGGGGCGGUAAUUAUAAAACAUUAAGAAAUAGAACAGAAAUUUAUGAAAAGUUAUAUCUUUAAGAGAUUUAGAGUUACUUUAGGGAUAACAGCGUAAUUUUAUAUAAUAGUAUCAGUGUUAUUUAAAGACUUACGACCUCGAUGUUGAAUUGAGGGGCCAUUUUGUAUAAAAUUUGGAGGUCUGUUCGACCUUUAAUUCCUC
This 472-nucleotide ribosomal RNA is filed under the name Macrostylis cf. metallicola BOLD:ADL4496. Its description in RNAcentral is "partial 16S ribosomal RNA". The record is from RNAcentral. Lineage: Eukaryota; Metazoa; Arthropoda; Malacostraca; Isopoda; Macrostylidae.